Molecule: long non-coding RNA, 1310 nt
Filed under: Equus caballus (horse)
Lineage: Eukaryota; Metazoa; Chordata; Mammalia; Perissodactyla; Equidae
Description: lncRNA (ENSECAG00000041929.2)
Source: RNAcentral
UCUGGUUCCAGAGGGUGAGGCCCAGGAGUGGAUGUCUGCUGGAUGCUUCUGACCCUCAUCGAAGGAGACAGUGCCUGCCAGAAGGCACCAGUAUGGAGACAGAGACUGUCAACCACAUGGAGAGGUGGUACAGGUCUGACUCAGGGGCCAGGAAUGGCCUCACCAUUACUUGGAGGUAAGAGGGUCCCCUGACGAAGGUAGUGUUAGUGGCUCCACCACUAAGGGGCGCUAAGGGGCCCCUGGGCAAAGUCUCAUGUUUCUUCCCGAAGCAGAUGGAUCUGUUUCCUCUCCCAACACAUCUGCUUUGUGGCAUCGCCCCCUGUUCCAGGUCCUGCCCUCCCAAUGCCACACCCUGAAGGAGUUCUUUGCCACCAGCUCAGGGAGGGUGUGCUUUGGCUGAGGGAGAGAGGAGGGAAGACAGGUUUGCCACAAUCUGGACAGGUCUUGCCCUUGGGAUCCUGAGAGAAAAGGAGUCCCCAGAACUGACAGGAGCCAUGUCCCCAGGACACUGUCCUGUUUCCUUAGAAAACAAGUUCUUUCAGGUCUUUUCUUUUCCUUGUUUAGACUGAAGGUACUUCCUGGACCCAAAGGGAAGAAUCAGAAGGCUGAGCCCAUUAAUGGUUCCUCACCAGACCUUCUUUGGUCCACUCGCUGUCUUCACUCUUCGCUCAUCCUUGGAGGGUACCAGAGGCCAUAUUGGGUCUUACUUUUUGCGAUGCCCCAUAGGAGAAAGAAAACCAAAACCUAUGAAUCACAUCCAAAACUAAGUGAAAGAUUUGAACCCGGUAGGGAGUAUUGCUACUGCAAGCAUUUGCUGAAAGGACAGAGAAUCUGAAAACUCGAAAGCUCUGGGUGAAGAGUUGGACUGGAGCGAGGAGAGUGGUCGCCGGCACAAUGAAGUAUUUUGAGUUUGAUGUUUUCUGACCCUCUGAAGCUAAACUAUAGCCCAUUUCAUUUUCAAACAGCCUCCCGGGAGCCCUGGGAUGACCUCAGUCAGGAUGUUCUCAAACAUAAUCUAGCCUGCGCAGUAACCUGACAAGAAUUGGUUUAUUUAAGGAACGCGGUGGGUCUUUUAGCCUCUAAAGGAACCCAUAGGUCAUUUGUAAAGGAACCAGCAUGACCUGUUGGAACUUCUCUUGGCACUGAUGCUCAGCCGUUUCAGGUUAGAACUUUGUUGCUUUGAGCUGGAAGCUCCACUGAAACUUGUGUAAUGGAGACCACAUAAAAUGUAGUUUCCCUUAAGAUUUUAGGAUGAGCAGACAAGGACUUUAAAACAGCUCUAAUUAAUUCAAGAAAGUAGAGGGAAGUGU